UCGGCUCUCUCUCUUUCUCUCAUUAUUAGAUAAAGGAGAGAAAUAUCUCUUUCAGUAUUAGAUAAUAGAGAGUAAUGGGAAACGCGUCGUCGAUGCUGACUCAGUACGAUAUCGAAGAAGUUCAAGAACACUGCGACAAUAUCUUUUCGCGGCAAGAAAUUGUGUCAUUGUAUCAGAGAUUUUGUCAACUCGAUCGAAGUGCGAAAGGAUUUAUAUCUGCAGAUGAGUUCUUGUCUGUUCCUGAAUUUGCUGUCAAUGCCCUGUCUCAGAGUGAGAUGUUAUCAAUUCGGCAGAGAAAAGGAUAUUCCCUUGUAUUCUUCUUUUUCAUUUGCAAAUUGACAUGACUCACGAGCCCACCUUUCACCGACCACAAAAAUUUCUCCAUUUGGCUGAUUUGUGGUUCGCGGCCUACCAAGAUGCUUCUUUUUCUAAGUCUUUAUAUGGAUUGCGAAGGAGGGAAGUGAAGAUUUCACCGGGCAAAGAUAUUCCUAAUGCCGACUCAGGUUAUCGGCUUCGACUUUCUGGAUUAGGAAGGUGUCAAAAAGUUCUCUCAGUUGAAUUUCUGGUAUAAUCUUCCUUUGCUUUUAGCAACUUAAGUGUGGAACUCUUUUUAAGGAUAGUCCGAGUUUAUUCUCUUAGAAAUGAUGACAUUGCCCUUAUUUUCCUUCAAUGCAUACUAUUUGACAUGCUAUUUGAUUGAAUAUUUAUAAAUUUCUUGUGUGCUUUUCUGUCAAAUCUGAUAUUUUUACAUUGGUA
RNA transcript from Magnolia sinica, 756 nucleotides. RefSeq lists it as uncharacterized. NCBI's taxonomy places the organism in Eukaryota, Viridiplantae, Streptophyta, Magnoliopsida, Magnoliales, Magnoliaceae. The record is from RefSeq and is a predicted model, not a curated record. The transcript has 4 exons.